CUCACUUGUCCUGUUUUGUUGGCGAGCUGGUGAAAAUCACACUUGGUUCCAAGGGCAUGGACAACAUCUUGAUAGUAUUGGCCGCAAUGAAGGACUUAAGUAAGUUUAAGAUUUGCCUUGUACUUGAAGGGCAUGGACAACAUUCUUGGUAGUAUUGGCCGCAAUGAAGGACAACAAGGAGGUAUGCUCACAGAUUUCUUCCUUGACACUGGGUUUCUGCUUCACAAAAAAACGAAUGAUUCUUAUUGCUAAUACACCUAUGGACACAGAUCAAAGCAAGGUAUUCGGCUCACGGAUAUCCACGUUGAUUGCGUUGCUAAAAUUGCCGAAUUCGAGUUAGCUGAAAAAGAAAAGAUGAAGGAGAAGAUUAAGCUCACUCUAAAGUACAAUUCCACCAUCUUUAUUAACAGGUUUAUUGUUUUUCUUCCUUUUCAAUAUUUAUUAUCUUAUAUUGCAUCUAAAAUUCCAGUUUUUUCUAAUGAAAUGUUUGAGUUUCUCAUACGCAUUCUUAGUUUAUUUCUUAUCCCUGUAUUCUAGAAUAAAAUUAAGAGAAUGAAAAGACAAUUAAAAAUCUCGAUGGCGCCACGAAGGGGCUUGAUCCCUGAGAGAUUUACCUUGGUAAAGAUGGAAGGCUAUGCCGUGGUUAUUGGGCCCCAAAAUGUUUAUUGUUUCCCCAGGGGUUCCAGCCGGGUUUUGAUUGGCUGAAAAUUAUUGUGCGUAAACAGGGGAGUUGUUCGUUUUCAUUUAUUUUUUAUCUGAUUCGCCGCAUUCAACUUCGUGCCAAUGGGUUGUUUCUAAAUAUGUAGGUUUGUUUGUUAAUUUUAUAUAAUUUUUUUUAUUGAAAUUCAAAUUUCGGUCGUGAAAGUCGGGUUCUGAUUGGUUGGUGGCGGGUUGGUGGAUUUAGAGACCCUCCUGUGCCGCGGGUUUUCGUUUUUUGGGUAAAAUUUUAUUUCAGUUGGAUUCUCCAUGUAAAACUGUAUGGAAUAGGG
Molecule: long non-coding RNA, 989 nt
Organism: Daphnia magna
Lineage: Eukaryota; Metazoa; Arthropoda; Branchiopoda; Diplostraca; Daphniidae
Exons: 3
Source: RefSeq, a predicted model, not a curated record